Molecule: ribosomal RNA, 253 nt
Filed under: uncultured bacterium
Lineage: Bacteria
Description: partial 16S ribosomal RNA
Rfam family: Bacterial small subunit ribosomal RNA
Source: RNAcentral
UACGUAGGGUGCAAGCGUUGUCCGGAAUUAUUGGGCGUAAAGAGCUCGUAGGCGGUUUGUUGCGUCGGCUGUGAAAUCCCGAGGCUCAACCUCGGGUCUGCAGUCGAUACGAGCAAACUAGAGUGUUGCAGGGGAGACUGGAAUUCCUGGUGUAGCGGUGAAAUGCGCAGAUAUCAGGAGGAACACCGGUGGCGAAGGCGGGUCUCUGGGCAACAACUGACGCUGAGGAACGAAAGCGUGGGGAGCGAACAGG